AGUGAACGCUGGCGGUAGGCCUAACACAUGCAAGUCGAACGGCAGCACAGUAAGAGCUUGCUCUUACGGGUGGCGAGUGGCGGACGGGUGAGGAAUACAUCGGAAUCUACUUUUUCGUGGGGGAUAACGUAGGGAAACUUACGCUAAUACCGCAUACGACCUACGGGUGAAAGCAGGGGAUCUUCGGACCUUGCGCGAUUGAAUGAGCCGAUGUCGGAUUAGCUAGUUGGCGGGGUAAAGGCCCACCAAGGCGACGAUCCGUAGCUGGUCUGAGAGGAUGAUCAGCCGCACUGGAACGGAGACACGGUCCAGAGUCCUACGGGAGGCAGCAGUGGGGAAUAUUGGACAAUAGGCGGAAGCCUGAUCCAGCCAGACCGCGUGGGUGGAGAAGGCGUUCGGGUUGUAAAGCCCUUUUGUUGGGAAAGAAAAGCAGCAGGUUAAUACCCCGCUGUUCUGACGGUACCCAAAGAAUAAGCACCGGCUAACUUCGUG
This 492-nucleotide ribosomal RNA is filed under the name uncultured bacterium. RNAcentral's name for it is "partial 16S ribosomal RNA". It matches the Rfam family "Bacterial small subunit ribosomal RNA", at positions 29 to 507 of the family's 1533-position model. The record is from RNAcentral.